RNAcentral lists this ribosomal RNA (1237 nucleotides) under metagenome. RNAcentral's name for it is "bacterial LSU rRNA". It matches the Rfam family "Bacterial large subunit ribosomal RNA", at positions 1564 to 2808 of the family's 2925-position model. The record is from RNAcentral.
UGAGUACGAGACGCUAAGGCGUUGAAGCAGUCUAUGUCAGACUUCCAAGAAAAGCUCGCAAUGUCAUAAACAAAGAAUGCCUGUACCAUAACCGACACAGGUGGGUAGGUAGAGUAUACUAAGGGGCGCGAGAUAACUCUCUCUAAGGAACUCGGCAAAAUGACUCCGUAACUUCGGGAGAAGGAGUGCCUUAUUUUUAUAAGGUUGCAAUAACAAGAUCCAAGCAACUGUUUACCAAAAACACAGGUCUCCGCUAAGUCGUAAGACGAUGUAUGGGGGCUGACGCCUGCCCAGUGCCAGAAGGUUAAAGAAGUUGGUUAGUUUCGGCGAAGCUGAUGACUGAAGCCCUGGUGAACGGCGGCCGUAACAAUAACGGUCCUAAGGUAGCGAAAUUCCUUGUCGGGCAAGUUCCGACCCGCACGAAAGGCGUAAUGAUUUGGAUACUGUCUCGGAGAGGGGCUCGGUGAAAUAGACUUGUCUGUGAAGAUGCGGACUACCUGCACCUGGACAGAAAGACCCUAUGAAGCUUUACUGUAACUUGAGAUUGAAAUUGGACUUUAUUUGCGCAGUAUAGGUGGGAGACGUUGAGAAUAUUCUUGCGGGAAUAUUGGAGUCAUCAGUGAGAUACCACUCUUGUAAUGUUAGAUUUCUAACUUUGUAUCAUUAUCUGGUCAAAGGACAGUUUCAGGCGGGCAGUUUGACUGGGGCGGUCGCCUCCCAAACGGUAACGGAGGCGCACAAAGGUUUCCUCUGAACGUGUAGAAAUCGUAUCUAGAGUGUAAAGGCAUAAGGAAGCUUGACUGUGAGACCUACAAGUCGAGCAGGGACGAAAGUCGGUCUUAGUGAUCUGACGGUGCUGAGUGGAAAGGCCGUCACUCAACGGAUAAAAGUUACUCUAAGGAUAACAGGCUGAUCUCCCCCAAGAGUUCACAUCGACGGGGAGGUUUGGCACCUCGAUGUCGGCUCAUCGCAUCCUGGGGCGGUAGUACGUCCCAAGGGUUGGGCUGUUCGCCCAUGAAAGCGGUACGCGAGCUGGGUUCAGAACGUCGUGAGACAGUUCGGUCCAUAUCCGGUGUAGGCGUUAGAAUAUUGAGAGGAGCCUUCUUUAGUACGAGAGGACCGAGAAGGACAUACCUCUGGUGUACCAGUUAUCGUGCCAACGGUAAACGCUGGGUAGCUAUGUAUGGAGUGGAUAACCGCUGAAGGCAUCUAAGUGGGAAGCCCACCUCAAGAUAAG